This 78-nucleotide transfer RNA is filed under the name Cordylochernes scorpioides. RNAcentral's name for it is "tRNA-Gly". Lineage: Eukaryota; Metazoa; Arthropoda; Arachnida; Pseudoscorpiones; Chernetidae. The record is from RNAcentral.
UUAAUCGGGUAAAACCCGGGAAUCGAACCCGGGCCGCAGGCGUGGCAGGCGAGCAUUCUACCACUGAACCACCGAUGC